RNAcentral lists this ribosomal RNA (234 nucleotides) under uncultured bacterium. RNAcentral describes it as "partial small subunit ribosomal RNA". It matches the Rfam family "Bacterial small subunit ribosomal RNA", at positions 26 to 287 of the family's 1533-position model. The record is from RNAcentral.
AGGAUGAACGCUGGCGGUAUGCUUAACACAUGCAAGUCGAACGGGAUCAGAAAUGGUUCAGUGGCGGACGGGUGAGUAACGCGUGAGAAUCUGGCUUCAGGUUCGGGACAACCACUGGAAACGGUGGCUAAUACCGGAUAUGCCGAGAGGUGAAAGAUAUAUUGCCUGAAGAUGAGCUCGCGUCUGAUUAGCUAGUUGGUAGGGUAAUGGCCUACCAAGGCGGCGAUCGGUAAC